This 76-nucleotide microRNA precursor is filed under the name Vicugna pacos (alpaca). RNAcentral's name for it is "miRNA (ENSVPAG00000017784.1)". The record is from RNAcentral. Lineage: Eukaryota; Metazoa; Chordata; Mammalia; Artiodactyla; Camelidae.
UAGGGUGACAAACUGUCCUGGUUUGCCUGGGACUGAGGGCUUUUCCUUGAAUUCAGCACUUUCGGUGCCCAAACCA